Long non-coding RNA from Pygocentrus nattereri (red-bellied piranha), 3561 nucleotides. NCBI's taxonomy places the organism in Eukaryota, Metazoa, Chordata, Actinopteri, Characiformes, Serrasalmidae. The record is from Ensembl.
AGAUCUCCAAGACAUUCCAGGUCCCCUGAGCGAAACAAGAGGGACAGAGAAAGAGAUCGAGAACGUGAAAAGGAUCGAGAAAAGGAGCGAGUGAAAGAAAAACCCCAGAGAGGGCGGCACGAUUCCUCGUCCCCGUCUCCACCCCCAAAACAACAGCGGGACAGAAGAGCACGGAGCGAGGAGCGGGACAGAGAAAAGGCCCCUCAAAGAAAAAGACACGAUUCCUCAUCUCAUUCUCCAUCUCCUAAACGUCAGAAAGACAGGAGGCAGAGGAGUGUAGAGAAGGAGCGCGAGGAUGAGAGGAGGAAGAAGGACAAAUCACAAAAACGGCAUGAUUCGUCAUCAUCCCCAUCACCUUCGCCACAGAAGGACAGAGCACGGAGAGAACAUAGCAGAGAAAAAGACAAAGGGUCUUCCCUCGCGGCUCCUUCAGACAGACACCGGGAGAGAGACGGAGGAAGAGACAGAGAUGGAGGAAGAGAGACAGACAGACAGAAGGACAGAGAUAGAGACACUGCACCCAGUCGGAAAGACGAUAGAACGAGAGAGAGCGAUAAAGGUAAAGAAAGGGGCCGAAACCACUCCAGUGACUCCACCUCGCCUGCCAGGCGCUCACCAUACUCAAACAGAAGGCAAAAAGAGACAGAGCGCGAGAGAGAACGAGUUAAGGAAAGAGAGCGGGAAGAGCAGAGAGAAAAGGAGCGAGCGAGGGAGAGGGAACGGGAGGAAGCAAGGAGGCAAGAGGAGAGGAGAAAAGAGCGAGAGAAUGACAGAGAAAAAGAGAGAGAAGUGUCCAGGUCCUCCUACGACAAACACUCUGAAGAGCGACGCUCUGGAAGAGACAGUGAGGCUGAAAGGAGGACAGACAGAGAAAAGGCAGUCGCAGAGACGGAAAGAAAGGAGAAAGGGAUAAGGGAAGGGGAUGACAAGCUGGGAAGAAUGAAGGAAAAGAGCCCGCAGGAGAAGGAGAGGAAGAAACAAUCGACGCAAGAGAAAGAGCGGGAAAUAGACAAGCCAGAGAAGAAAAGCAAACCCAAGGCUACAAGCAGCAGUAGCAGCAGCAGCAGCAGUAGCAGCAGUAGUGAUAGUAGUGAUAGUGACAGUGACAGUUCAUCCUCAUCAUCCUCCUCUUCUUCUUCUUCCUCAUCUUCAUCAUCGUCUUCAUCAUCUAACGACGAAACGGAGAAAAAGAAGGAUGUUUCAAGCGAAAACAGCGGCUAUGGUACGCUGGUGCCCCAUGCCCUCAUAGCUCAGGCUGUGGCUCGGAGGGAAAAGGAGAAAGAAGGAAGUGAUGGGGAUAAAGAGAGAGGGAAGGACAGAUACACUCCAACAGUGCAGGAAAGCGUGUCGGCUCAACAGGACCAUGCUUCUUUCAGUAGAGAAGAGGAAAGGGACAAGAGAAGCAGAGAGCCAGACAGGGAGAGAAGGCCAGUGUCGUCAAAUUCCCCUCCGAGACCAGCUCAGAGGGAUCGAGGAGCAGAGAAAGGGAGGGAUCGAGGUAAUGAGAGAUACACGCCCACAGAAAGCUCCAGCCCUCCUCGGUCACCUCCAGUACAAAGCAGAAACAGAGAACGAGGCAGGUACAGUCCUCAACCGACCACCAGGACCCAAAGCAAAGAACCUGAAAGGCACAGAGACUACAAGAACCGGUACACUCCUUCAGAGCUCGAACGUGAAACGGAUCGCUUUUCGCCCAGCAGAGACAGGAACCGACAGAGUGAAAGAAGAACGCCGCUUUCACCAAAGGCUAGAAGGAGGGAUGACGAAUCCCAGAUUAAACGAGCGUCACCCCCUUCCCGUUCCCCUGCUCGCCACACGCCGCCCCGGCAGUAUCAGGAGCCCCCACGCUCCCCCAGCCCAAGACGGAGGGGCAGGAGACCCUCACCAUCCCGUGUCUCGCCUCGCUCACGCCGGGAGAACAGCCGGGAGCGACUCAGAGAGAGGGAGAGAGAUAGAGGGAGGGCAGGAGACAGGGAGAGAGAGCGAGAGCGCUCCAGAGAGAGGAAGACGAGAAGCAGCAGGUCUCGAAGCCCACGUAGACGAAGCCCCCCGUACAGGUCACGUCGUUCACCUUCUCCCGCCCACUGGCGUAGAAGCAGCCGGUCGUGGUCCAGAGAACAAGAGCGAGAAAGAGAGAGGGAGAAGGAAAGAGAGAGGGAGAAAACCCGUGAGCAAGAGAAGGAGCGUGAGCAGCAGAGAGAGCGGGAAAGAGAACGAGAAAAAGAGAGAGAAAAGAAAGCAAAAUCACCCCCACGCCGCUCUCCAUCUUCCUCCUCCACAUCAUCCUCCUCCUCUAGUUCAUCCUCCUCAUCCUCACCGUCUCCUCAGAGGAAGCUGACCGGAGAGAAAGGGAUGAAUCCUAAUUCACAGAAGGACAGAAAAGAGAUUAUUGAGUCAGAUAAAAGGUACAGGUCUCGAUCAACUUCUCCCCCUCAAACUCAAGAUACACGCUGCCCUCCGAACCAGUCUGGCCGCUCAAGAGACCAACUUCAGAGAUCCAGGUCACCAGCUGUUAGCCAAUCAGAGACAAGAGAAGCAUCAAGGGGGGAGAGAUCUAGAGGCCAAUCACCAGCAGCUUCAAACCAAAGGCAACCAAUCAGAGGAGAGAACACAGUGAAUGGAAGACCAGAGAAGGAUACCGCAGCAGAGCGGAAGAACAGCAGGAGCAGCUCCAGCUCAUCUUCUUCCUCGUCCUCUUCAUCGACAUCAUCUUCGUCAGAGAGCUCUGACUCUGAGACAAAGAAAGCGAAAGGGCCUGAUGAAGCAGCAAGUCAACACUCUUCCUCAUCAGAAAGUGAGAAAGAAGAGAAGAAAAGCCCACCUCGUCGGCCGAGAGUUCCAGCCGAUUCGCUGAGAGACUCCAGGUCACUCAGCUAUUCUCCUCCUGCCAGGCAGCGCAGGACUGCCCGUUCCCCUCCCCCUCGAAGGAGGUCCAGAAGCCGAUCUCCCAACAACAGGAGGAGAAAAUGAAGAAAACGGUUGCAUCUAACUGUACAUCAGCUUCCUUUGUAAUCCCCACAACCCACCCCCCGCUCUUGGUUCUUUUCCCCCGUCCCCACCCGGAGUACCACAUGAUGCUUUAAGAAGAUGUAAAGCAGAAGCGGAUGCUUCAUUAAUUUUGGCGACACAUGAGCCGCGAACUGGAGGAAACAUCUCAGAGAUCCCUGUUUUUUUGGCGUUUGUUUUGACUUUUAUUAUGGUGUAAUUCAAAUGCAAGCAGAGAGAGAAGUAGAGCCACCUAUGUGUCACUUACUGUUCUGUGCCACUAGACGCCGAACAAAGUUUUUCCCAUCACACGUCACAAACACAAGAGACCAGAGCUUCUCUCUGCCCUGCUGUUCUGAAUGUAGAUAAACACUUGUAAUUGGUAUCUGAAUGGACAGUGUCCUGCUUACAUGUCUGUGAGUAGACCCUAAUCUUUUUGUUUCUCUUUGUGCAGAAAAAAAUGAAUAAAAAGAGGUUGUAUCUUCCUUUGUAGACUUUUUUUUCCCCAGUUAGUUAUGCUGUGAGAUGCGUUGAGAUCUCCUAUUAUUUAGCCUUCUGCAUUUACACGCCUACAGC